RNAcentral lists this non-coding RNA (26 nucleotides) under Mus musculus (house mouse). Lineage: Eukaryota; Metazoa; Chordata; Mammalia; Rodentia; Muridae. The record is from RNAcentral.
UUCCGCUCAUAAAAUCUGUACAACAA